Molecule: non-coding RNA, 69 nt
Organism: Ictidomys tridecemlineatus (thirteen-lined ground squirrel)
Lineage: Eukaryota; Metazoa; Chordata; Mammalia; Rodentia; Sciuridae
Source: Rfam
GGAGUUGUGGCUCAGUGGUAGAGCGCUUGCCUAGCAUGUGGGAGGCCCUGAGUUUGAUCCUCAGCACCA